AUCUCCUCUUUCCCUUAUAAGUUGUGUCUCACCGCCAUAAAAGCCCCAUAUUUUCCACAAACAUUAACCACACUCCUCUCCCACCUCUUAAUCCUAAAUCCCAUCGUCAUCAACCACUAACGGAAGGGACGAUUUGGAUGUAGGAUAUCAUGGCUAACGGAAUCAUCUUCUGGUUUCUCAACUCUCUCUCUCUCUCUCUCUCUCUCUCUCUCUCUCUAUAUAUAUAUAUAUAUAUAUAUAUAUAUAUAUAUAUAUAUAUAUAUAUAUAUAUAUAUAUAUAUAAGAAAACCCUAAAUGCUCUACCUAAAUAGCCGACAUCACCAACGUUGGUUCACCACCAUCACCACUUUCGACUUCAGAUAUCGUGAAAUCACUCCUUUCUCCUCCACCUAAAACUUUUUUGUGUAGGCAUCUAUGUGUUUUUGUGCGCAUCUGUGUCACAGUGAAAGAAUCUAACUAGAAACAUCUCAAAUGGAGAACCCACGAGGGAACCCAGUGAUGUUUUUGGUACGUCCCGGGUGCUCACUUGUGAUGAGCCUUUAGGUCCAUUCGAAAGCCAUAUAUUCAGCACAACACACACCACACAGCAAAAUUCGUUUUUUUAUUGAUUUAACAGAUGUUUAAAGUAGAUAUGAAAAUAUCUCGACACCACCACCAUUGGGCUGGUCACAUCCAGUUCUACCACCUUAACAUUAAGAAUAAUUCGCGCCAAGUUUUUAUCAGGUGCUCCGAUCUGGUAAAACCUUCAAUUGGAUUUCUAGAUUUGUUUAAUUUAAAUUUUUUUUCCAUCCUUGAUUUUUAUUUGUGUUAUAAAUCCUCUUGGAACUGCAUUUUCAUCUUCUUUAUGUAAGAGAGAGGAUGUUGAUUUCGUUAAGCACUUAAGUUGUUAUGUUGCUCAAAGUGUUUAAUACAUUUAGAAUCCGGUCAAACAUAGUGUGCGUGUUCUAGGCUUGAAGAGUAAAGUAUUGAAAGUAUCCAUUAGGACAUGACUAUUAGUAAAUUGCAAGUUUUGCUAACCUUAUUUGAUCAUUUCGUUUGUUUAAUGGGGAUUAAGGUCAUAUAUUUGGUGUUUUUUUUUUUACUUUCAGUUUACACACGCCUUUGAUAUAAUGUGGUGUGAAGGUUAGACUUCUUUAUUAAAAUUUUGAAGGGUGUAAAGGUGACAUGAAGCAAAACCAUCAAAACCUAAUCUUAAUCUUGAAACAUGAACCCAACAACACCAGAGUUUGUCUCACACACCGCUUUUAAUAAAUACAUAUAAAUACUCUACUCUCAUCAUCCAAAUCUUCAAUCCCACUUCCUAUUAUGCAACAACAAACUAAAGGAAUCAUCAUCACCUUAUAUUUUCUAACAAUUGUGCACUAUUUUUCGUAUAAUGCCUUCAGUUGACGAAAAGCUUGCCAUGGCCAAGAGUUGCUCUCAUGUUACAGGAGAUAAGGUAGUUGUGUAAACCACCAUUGCCACCGCUAUUCCAACUAUGGCAAGUACAAGAAUAAAAAAACAAAGCAUAAAAAAACUACACCUUUCACUACUCAUGCAUGCAUAUGGAGACCAAACAACCACAAGAUCAUUUGCUAUCAGAGCACUGACUAUCAGAGCACUGACGAACAAAAAAACAAAACAUAAACAAAAUGGCCAACCUUUCACACUCAUACAUAAUAAUUUUGAUAUGGCUGAUGAAUAUGGUUUAGUUUUUUUUAAGGUACAAAUGAGCUGCAAUGGUUGGUUUAAAGUACAAGGAAUUUUAGAUAUGAUAAAUAUGAUGGGUUUUAAGAUUUGAGAAAGUUAACCGUGGACCAAAAAUAAGUUAUUAAUUAUAAUUUGUUUUGAGUUUUUUAUAUUUUAAAAUAUUCUUCAUUUGGUGUUUAAGAUAUGUAAUGGAUGGAACGUUUGACUUCAAUAUAUAUAUUUUUUAUGUUUUUUUUUAUUUA
Long non-coding RNA from Lactuca sativa (garden lettuce), 1931 nucleotides. RefSeq lists it as uncharacterized. The record is from RefSeq and is a predicted model, not a curated record. Lineage: Eukaryota; Viridiplantae; Streptophyta; Magnoliopsida; Asterales; Asteraceae.